RNAcentral lists this ribosomal RNA (671 nucleotides) under uncultured rumen bacterium. Its description in RNAcentral is "bacterial SSU rRNA". It matches the Rfam family "Bacterial small subunit ribosomal RNA", at positions 74 to 756 of the family's 1533-position model. The record is from RNAcentral.
GCUUCUGAAGAAUCAUUUGAAGUACUUAGUGGCGGACGGGUGAGUAACGCGUGGGUAACCUGCCUCACACAGGGGGAUAUCAGUUGGAAACGACUGUUAAUACCGCAUAAGCGCACAGUACCGCAUGGUACAGUGUGAAAAACUCCGGUGGUGUGAGAUGGACCCGCGUCUGAUUAGCUAGUUGGUGAGGUAACGGCCCACCAAGGCGACGAUCAGUAGCCGGCCUGAGAGGGUGUACGGCCACAUUGGGACUGAGACACGGCCCAAACUCCUACGGGAGGCAGCAGUGGGGAAUAUUGCACAAUGGGGGAAACCCUGAUGCAGCGACGCCGCGUGAGUGAUGAAGUAUCUCGGUAUGUAAAGCUCUAUCAGCAGGGAAGAUAAUGACGGUACCUGACUAAGAAGCACCGGCUAAAUACGUGCCAGCAGCCGCGGUAAUACGUAUGGUGCAAGCGUUAUCCGGAUUUACUGGGUGUAAAGGGUGCGUAGGUGGCGUGGCAAGUCAGAAGUGAAAACUAUGGGCUCAACCCAUAGACUGCUUUUGAAACUGUCAUGCUGGAGUGCAGGAGAGGAAAGCGGAAUUCCUAGUGUAGCGGUGAAAUGCGUAGAUAUUAGGAGGAACACCAGUGGCGAAGGCGGCUUUCUGGACUGACACUGACACUGAGGCACGA